Melanotaenia boesemani (Boeseman's rainbowfish) is the source of this 494-nucleotide long non-coding RNA. RefSeq lists it as uncharacterized. Lineage: Eukaryota; Metazoa; Chordata; Actinopteri; Atheriniformes; Melanotaeniidae. The transcript is spliced from 4 exons. The record is from RefSeq and is a predicted model, not a curated record.
GAGGGGAAGGGAGGGCAGGACGGGAGACCCGCGACGCCGGCGACUGGCCGUGCAAGUGGAGAGAAAACUGCACUUCAGGAUGCUGUCACUCAUUUUUGGAAGCCUGCUGUGGUUUCCUCAAAGGUUCCAUGUUUGAGGAAAUAUUAUGUGCUGCUGACCUGAGUUUUGCUGCUACUGGAUGUCAAUGCUGACUUUAUUAAUAUGGUUUAUUAAUAUGGAUCCAAGAAUAUGUUGUUCAUUUGUUCAGGAGAUUGAGUACACCAUGCAUCCUUUUGGUUCUCUCCAAGUACUGUAAGUACUGCAUGGAACUGAUUAUUCAACUAUUUCUCUGGAGUACAUAGACCAGUACUGUGAUCACCUGAGUAAGUCCAUCAAGUGUUAUUCUUUCUCACCUUUUUCUGUCUGUCUCCUAUCACUUUUUGAAGGGUUCCAUGUUGGAGGAAAUAUUCUUUGCUACUCUGCUGUUUGUGUGGAAUAAAUAAUCUCUAAAAAUA